GAUGAACGCUGGCGGCGUGCCUAAUACAUGCCAGUCGAGCGAACGGACGAGAAGCUUGCUUCUCUGAUGUUAGCGGCGGACGGGUGAGUAACACGUGGAUAACCUACCUAUAAGACUGGGAUAACUUCGGGAAACCGUAGCUAAUACCGGAUAAUAUUUUGAACCGCAUGGUUCAAUAGUGAAAGACGGUCUUGCUGUCACUUAUAGAUGGAUCCGCGCUGCAUUAGCUAGUUGGUAAGGUAACGGCUUACCAAGGCAACGAUGCAUAGCCGACCUGAGGGGGUGAUCGGCCACACUGGAACUGAGACACGGUCCAGACUCCUACGGGAGGCAGCAGUAGGGAAUCUUCCGCAAUGGGCGAAAGCCUGACGGAGCAACGCCGCGUGAGUGAUGAAGGUCUUCGGAUCGUAAAACUCUGUUAUUAGGGAAGAACAUAUGUGUAAGUAACUGUGCACAUCUUGACGGUACCUAAUCAGAAAGCCACGGCUAACUACGUG
Molecule: ribosomal RNA, 497 nt
Filed under: uncultured bacterium
Lineage: Bacteria
Description: partial 16S ribosomal RNA
Rfam family: Bacterial small subunit ribosomal RNA
Source: RNAcentral